RNAcentral lists this ribosomal RNA (496 nucleotides) under uncultured bacterium. RNAcentral describes it as "bacterial SSU rRNA". It matches the Rfam family "Bacterial small subunit ribosomal RNA", at positions 16 to 507 of the family's 1533-position model. The record is from RNAcentral.
AUCAUGGCUCAGAUUGAACGCUGGCGGCAUGCCUUACACAUGCAAGUCGAACGGCAGCACGGGAGCAAUCCUGGUGGCGAGUGGCGAACGGGUGAGUAAUAUAUCGGAACGUGCCCAGUCGUGGGGGAUAACUACUCGAAAGAGUGGCUAAUACCGCAUACGAUCUACGGAUGAAAGCGGGGGACCUUAGGGCCUCGCGCGAUUGGAGCGGCCGAUAUCAGAUUAGGUAGUUGGUAGGGUAAAAGCCUACCAAGCCUGCGAUCUGUAGCUGGUCUGAGAGGACGACCAGCCACACUGGAACUGAGACACGGUCCAGACUCCUACGGGAGGCAGCAGUGGGGAAUUUUGGACAAUGGGCGAAAGCCUGAUCCAGCAAUGCCGCGUGCAGGACGAAGGCCUUCGGGUUGUAAACUGCUUUUGUACGGAACGAAAAGGUAGCUCCUAAUACGAGCUGCCGAUGACGGUACCGUAAGAAUAAGCACCGGCUAACUACGUG